Molecule: long non-coding RNA, 700 nt
Filed under: Nicotiana benthamiana
Lineage: Eukaryota; Viridiplantae; Streptophyta; Magnoliopsida; Solanales; Solanaceae
Description: long non-coding RNA (NBEN_LNC040004)
Source: RNAcentral
GCAGAACCGUCCAAGGUAGCACAAGAAUUAGUAGAAGUAUCGUGUAAUCUAUCCAAUUCUUGAAUUGUGUUACAAACGUAAAACUCUUUGCCUUUGCAACAAAGAAAGCAAAUCAACGUCUGAUUAAAAGUUUAAAAAAAAAAGAUUUACAAACAAGUUUCAUAUAUUCACAUCCAUGAUCCAUAGCCUUUGGUAUAUCCAUAUCGUUUCAAGGCUCCAUGACAACUCUUCAGAUCAAGCAAAGAGGAAAUUAACAAGCUUAACCAAAACUAAUGAGACAUAACAAAUAAUAGCAGGAAUCAUUUCAGACAUAUAUUCAAAAUAAACUCAAAUAAGAAAUAAACUCAUAUGUUCAUAAAUCAUACCUCAGCAAAGUAGUGAGAGAAGUAAACCUGUUUCGAAGCUUGGCUAACAGACAGGGGCUCGAACAGAAAACGCGACGGCUCUGGAACCUCGCCGGCGAUGGAGGCGCGACAGAAAAACGAGAGAGAGAAGGCUGUGUUAUGGUUGUUAUAAUGAAUAAGAAGAAAGCUUACCUACGCAGAAGGUUAAAGGAGACGAUCUCAGCAGUCGUUUUCAGUGUUCUCAGCGACUGCUUCUUCCGGUAAGUUUAGGCUCCGCCAUUUUUGGUCUUAGGUUUUUUGGUUGGAGAAGAAGCUCCAAAAACGGCUGAUCUAAUAGCUUAGCCUUUUGAUAUUAG